This 474-nucleotide ribosomal RNA is filed under the name uncultured bacterium. Its description in RNAcentral is "partial 16S ribosomal RNA". It matches the Rfam family "Bacterial small subunit ribosomal RNA", at positions 28 to 507 of the family's 1533-position model. The record is from RNAcentral.
GAUGAACGCUAGCGGCAGGCCUAACACAUGCAAGUCGAGGGAGGAGCUUUCGGGCUUCGACCGGCGUACGGGUGCGUAACGCGUAUACAAUCUGCCUUUCACAUAGGGAUAGCCCGAAGAAAUUUGGAUUAAUACCUAAUGGUAUAUAGGAGUGGCAUCACAUUUAUAUUAAAGCUGAGGCGGUGAAAGAUGAGUAUGCGUUCUAUUAGCUAGUUGGAGAGGUAACGGCUCCCCAAGGCGACGAUAGAUAGGGGUUCUGAGAGGGAUGUCCCCCACACUGGUACUGAGAUACGGACCAGACUCCUACGGGAGGCAGCAGUGAGGAAUAUUGGACAAUGGUCGGAAGACUGAUCCAGCCAUGCCGCGUGCAGGAAGACGGCCUUAUGGGUUGUAAACUGCUUUUCCAGGGGAAGAAUAAGGACUACGAGUAGUUUGAUGACGGUACUCUGCGAAUAAGCAUCGGCUAACUCCGUG